GUCAGUGUGGCCGAGUGGUUAAGGCGACAGACUUGAAAUCUGUUGGGCACUGCCCGCGCAGGUUCAAACCCUGCCGCUGACG
Coemansia biformis is the source of this 82-nucleotide non-coding RNA. Lineage: Eukaryota; Fungi; Kickxellomycota; Kickxellomycetes; Kickxellales; Kickxellaceae. The record is from the annotation of a GenBank genome assembly.